CGUGCACGCGCUUGGUAAUUGGCGGCUGAUUAGUGUAUAUAUAGGCUACACAUGCGUAUGAACAAAGUCAGAGACGCUUGUAAACGUAGCGGGGAUUAGUAGUUCAGUUUGGCCAACGAAAACAUUUACACACCACUUUACUCAAAAAAUGAUAACUGAGGCCAUUAUAUCUAAUAGCACACGUCUUAAUUUAAUCAGGUGAUAUACAAGUCGCUAAUAACUGGUCCAGUUACAUCACUGUGUGUGGUUUCUUUGUGCUUAUCUGAAGUAAUUUGUUGCUAACAGUUCAGUAGCUCACCUCAGAAUGCUUCUUGUAACAAAACCAGUAAAAAAGUGAAGACUGAAAGGGAAGAAAAAGACUUGGACAGGGCAGAGCUCCAAUAUUUAGAUGAUUUUUUACAUCUGGUUGUGUUUGGUACGUCGUCUCUAUCCUCAGGAGUUAGCGCUGCUUGCUGCUCCUGUUAGGGGUGGCCGCAGCUGAUCAUCGGUCUGCACAUUCGAUUUGGCACAGUUUUUACACCGGAUGCCCUUCCUGAAGCUACCCUUCCCAAUUUUAUUCGGGCUUGGGAUCAGCACUGGGAGUGCGCUGUCAUGUAUUUUGGUCCAGAUAUUAGUGUCGUUCCUGUUGUAAAACCAGCUGCUCUGCUUUUCCUUAAAAGUGGGAGACGAUAGAAAAGAAGAAAAAGUGCAAAACCUCUUUGCUCACAGGAUAUGACUGAAUCUGUACCAGCAUGUCUGUUCAGACAGGACAUAUAUUAGCUGAAGUUAUUUCUAUUGGUUCUUUUAUAGGAGGUACAGUGUACUUUAUACUGCCACAGGCACAUACAGUCUGUAAAAAUGACUGACAUGUCAUCGUUCUCUCUGUCGAGCUACACACACUACUCCGGAGUUACCAGUGAUCCUGACGACUCCUGCUAUCCAGUCCUGCCUUCUCUAUCGUGAUGUCCCACAUGGACAGCCUAAAAAUCAUCAUGAUGGUUCUGUGAAUGGUAGCACAGAGACACCCUAAGGAUGGCUGUGGAUAUUCUUCCUUGGCUAGCCUAAAGACUAAUUUCUACGAACAGUUUACACUCAAGUCUCCAUCAUGGAACAGUUAAUAACUUCAGUUUGAUACGACAAACUUAAAGUUAAAACUCUAAUGAAUACAGAAAUGAUUGUAAUGCUCAUACUAAGUUCCUGUUAACACACUUGGCAAUUUUUGACUAUAUAGUGUACAGUUAUUGAAGAGAAACUAUUUAGAAUCAUAUUAUCCAGUGUCACCCAGAUGAGCAUGGGUUUUCUUUUGAGUCUGGUUCCUCUCAAGUUUUCCUCUUGUCGUCUCAGGGAGUUUUUUCCUUACCACCAUCACUUCCGGCUUGCUCAUUAGGGAUAAAGUUACACAUUUAAAAUCUAUAUUUGGAAUGUAUGUAUUUCUGUAAAGCUGCUUUGUGACAGUGGCCAUUGUUAAGUGCUAUACAAAUAAAAUUUAAUUAUGUGAUUGGACAUUUGUUAUUGUUGACUUUUUCCAAAAUACAGAUUAGAGUGUUUCCCUCCAUUUUUUUUUUUUUUUCAGCCACUCACUAUUUCAGGCUUAUAACAAAUAAUUUUGUGGAAAUGCUAUUCUUCUUUUGGAAGUCAUAUUUGGAUUGGACUAGUAUUUCAUGGUGGUGUAAUUAUUAAAGGAGUGUCCAAAUCAAUCAUGUCAUUUUUACGGACUGUAAUACUUUUGCUGUAAAUAUAGAUAAUAUAGUACAAUACAGAUUAUACUGUAUUUUAUCUUCUAUAAAAUGAAGAGUAGAAUUAUCAGGUAAUACACAGUACUGUGCAAAAGUCUUAGGUACAUGCAAAAAAAUGCUGUAGAGCAAAGAUGCCUUCAAAAAUAAUGAAAUUAUAGUAUUUUUUAAAUGUAGAAACAUUUAAAGAGCAGUAAACAGUAAUAAAUGAAAAAGUCCAUAUUCGUUGUGAUGAUCCUUUAAUUUGAAAAAAAAAAAAAAAGUAGUCGUCUCAGGUACAAUGUGUGCAGUUUUAUAAGGAAAUGAGCUGUAAGUGUUACUGAGCAUCUUACAGAAGCAGCCACAGUUCUUCUGGAGACUUUGACUGUCAGACUUGCUUCUUAUUUCUGCAGUAAAACCCAGCAGCCUUCAUUGUUUGUUUUGCCUGAAAAGUGUCUCUGUAAUAUGCUGCUUUCUUCACUGACAUGCAAACAUUUUCUAUAACAUUUAAGUUUGUGCUGGAAAACUAAUGUUUGGAAAUGUAAAAUGUUUUUCAUAAAAUAAACAUCUAUAACAAAGUUUGUUGCCUAAGUCUUUUGCACAGUACUGUAUAUCAAAUCCCUCACAAGAACCCAUAUAGAUUAUAUCCUGUGGGAAAAGAGGUUUGUUUUUUUUUUUUUUAAAGCUUUUUCUUCAGUGUAAAGACACUCCAGGAAGUGCUCCCUUUUAUUCUAUCACAAUAACAUAGACGACGUUUAAAAGCAACGCUUCUGGGGUCUUGGGUAACUUAUUGACUUCCUAAUACAUUUGAAGCCUAAACAUGUUUUGGUCAUGUGACCUAGUGAUCAAGCACAACUUGUGCAGCUACAAGCCCUACAACACAUGCUUAUAAUAAAGGUCAAAUAUUGUAUUAAAGUGCGGUACACAUGUAUGCGUGGUCAUCAGACGAAAACUUCCAUCAUGAAGACGCUCCAUCUCUGUGAUUCAUACAGAGAUCACGUAUCCUGUACAAAUCAAUCAUAAUUACUCCACAUGUCCUCUGACAAUAUUACUUAACAGAUGCGUUUGGAUAUCUUAUCCUGGAGAAAGAAUGGUUAUGGGAUUUGAUCUUUUUGGUUUUUGUUAUAUAUGCAAGGAUGAGCAAAAAGACUUUUGUACAAAGAUUUCAUAGUUACUGUUUUGUUUUGUUUUCCCCACAGGCUUGUGUCUUUUUUUAAAUGGCCAGUUAAUACUGUGAUAACUGAUUAGACUAGGUUAUCAUGCUAUGAAAAUUUCAAACCUUAAAACCUCUAGUAGUUUCUGAAGAUGAAUAAAUGAAUCACUUAAUCAGUUGAUACUUUAGUGUAGUAGAGCGUGUACAUAAGCACAACUGAAGCAUUGAAGAGAACCAUUGGUAAA
Pangasianodon hypophthalmus (striped catfish) is the source of this 3089-nucleotide long non-coding RNA. RefSeq lists it as uncharacterized. The transcript is spliced from 4 exons. The record is from RefSeq and is a predicted model, not a curated record. Lineage: Eukaryota; Metazoa; Chordata; Actinopteri; Siluriformes; Pangasiidae.